Molecule: ribosomal RNA, 549 nt
Filed under: fungal sp. W262
Lineage: Eukaryota; Fungi
Description: eukaryotic LSU rRNA
Rfam family: 5.8S ribosomal RNA (bases 212-365)
Source: RNAcentral
UGAAGGUGAAGUCGUAACAAGGUCUCCGUUGGUGAACCAGCGGAGGGAUCAUUACCGAGUUUACAACUCCCAAACCCAUGUGAACAUACCUACUGUUGCUUCGGCGGGAUUGCCCCGGGCGCCUCGUGUGCCCCGGAUCAGGCGCCCGCCUAGGAAACUUAAUUCUUGUUUUAUUUUGGAAUCUUCUGAGUAGUUUUUACAAAUAAAUAAAAACUUUCAACAACGGAUCUCUUGGUUCUGGCAUCGAUGAAGAACGCAGCGAAAUGCGAUAAGUAAUGUGAAUUGCAGAAUUCAGUGAAUCAUCGAAUCUUUGAACGCACAUUGCGCCCGCCAGUAUUCUGGCGGGCAUGCCUGUCUGAGCGUCAUUUCAACCCUCAUGCCCCUAGGGCGUGGUGUUGGGGAUCGGCCAAAGCCCGCGAGGGACGGCCGGCCCCUAAAUCUAGUGGCGGACCCGUCGUGGCCUCCUCUGCGAAGUAGUGAUAUUCCGCAUCGGAGAGCGACGAGCCCCUGCCGUUAAACCCCCAACUUUCCAAGGUUGACCUCAGAUCA